GGGAGGCAGCAGUGGGGAAUUUUGGACAAUGGGGGAAACCUUGAUCCAGCCAUUCCGCGUCUGCGAUGAAGGCCUUCGGGUUGUAAAGCACUUUUUGCAGGAAAGAAAUCUCUCCAAUUAAUACUGGGUGUGGAUGACGGUACGUGCAGAAUAAGCACCGUCUAUCUACGUCCCCGCAGCCGCGGUAAUACGUAGGGCGCAAGCGUUCAUCGGAAUUACUGGGUGUAAAGUGUGCGCAGGCGGUUCGGAAUGAGAGGUGUGAAAUCCCAGGGCUCAUCCUUGGAACUGCACUUUUAACUACCGAUCUAGAGUAUGUCAGAGGGGGGUAGAAUUCCGCGUGUAGCAGUGAAAUGUGUAGAUAUGCGGAGGCACCCCGAUGGAGAAGGCUGCCCCGUGGGAUAAUACUGACGCUCAUGCAAGAAACCGUGGGGAGCAAACAGGAUUAGAUCCCCUGGUAGUCCACGCCAUAAACGAUUCAACUAGUUGUUGGGACUCUCCCGCCUUAGUAGCGCAGCUAACGCGU
This 523-nucleotide ribosomal RNA is filed under the name uncultured Alcaligenaceae bacterium. Its description in RNAcentral is "bacterial SSU rRNA". It matches the Rfam family "Bacterial small subunit ribosomal RNA", at positions 343 to 860 of the family's 1533-position model. Lineage: Bacteria; Pseudomonadati; Pseudomonadota; Betaproteobacteria; Burkholderiales; Alcaligenaceae. The record is from RNAcentral.